RNAcentral lists this ribosomal RNA (855 nucleotides) under uncultured Alphaproteobacteria bacterium. Its description in RNAcentral is "bacterial SSU rRNA". It matches the Rfam family "Bacterial small subunit ribosomal RNA", at positions 1 to 902 of the family's 1533-position model. Lineage: Bacteria; Pseudomonadati; Pseudomonadota; Alphaproteobacteria. The record is from RNAcentral.
CCGCGGGAUUAGAGUUUGAUCCUGGCUCAGAACGAACGCUGGCGGCGCGCCUAACACAUGCAAGUCGAGCGCCCAGCAAUGGGAGCGGCGGACGGGUGAGUAACACGUGGGAACAUGCCUUUCGGUACGGAACAACUGCGGGAAACUGCAGCUAAUGCCGUAUACGCCCUUACGGGGAAAGAUUUAUCGCCGAAAGAUUGGCCCGCGUCUGAUUAGCUAGUUGGUGAGGUAACGGCUCACCAAGGCUUCGAUCAGUAGCUGGUUUGAGAGAACGACCAGCCACAUUGGGACUGAGACACGGCCCAAACUCCUACGGGAGGCAGCAGUGGGGAAUCUUGGACAAUGGGGGAAACCCUGAUCCAGCGAUGCCGCGUGAGUGAUGAAGGCCUUCGGGUUGUAAAACUCUUUCGACGGGGACGAUAAUGACGGUACCCGUAGAAGAAGCUCCGGCUAACUUCGUGCCAGCAGCCGCGGUAAUACGAAGGGGGCUAGCGUUGUUCGGAAUUACUGGGCGUAAAGCGCGCGCAGGCGGCCAUUCAAGUCAGGGGUGAAAGCCCAGAGCUCAACUCUGGAACUGCCCUUGAAACUGCAUGGCUUGAGUACGAGAGAGGUGAGUGGAAUUCCCAGUGUAGAGGUGAAAUUCGUAGAUAUUGGGAAGAACACCGGUGGCGAAGGCGGCUCACUGGCUCGUUACUGACGCUCAGGCGCGACAGCGUGGGGAUCAAACAGGAUUAGAUACCCUGGUAGUCCACGCCGUAAACUAUGAACGCUAGCCGUUAGGCAGCUUGCUGCUUAGUGGCGCAGCUAACGCAUUAAGCGUUCCGCCUGGGGAGUACGGCCGCAAGGUUGAAACUC